GAUAAUAGAAAGUUUUACUAAAUUAUAUAAAAUGUUGUAAAUAAAUAAUAGUUUUACAUAAAAAUAAAUAUAUCUCUUAAUUUAGUAAUGCAUUAAUACAUAUUGCGUACUUUCGGUAAAUACAAAUACAUCAUACCUUGUUAAACUAUCAAUUUGAACCAGAAGCACCUUUGUAAUUACACACUACACUAGUUAUAAUAAUUUCCUUAUCCAGGAAUAAUCUAUCAUUUGCACAUAUUGAUAUACGGUCGAAUAAAUUUGUUUUGAUAAUCAACACAUAGAGCUUUGUUGAUGCUUUGUUUAAUCAUUAAAAAUAUUAUUCAAAUAUUAAAAAAGACUAAUCUUACAGUAAUUUGUGUAACUGUCUUUUAUUUUAUGAAACCGUUAUUAAAGAAUUUGUAUUUUUUUAUUAUGCAAAGUUAUGUACUAUUAUAAUAUAAUUCUUUAUAAAAAUGUAAAUCUUUAUAAAAAGCAGCGAGUGAUUCAAUAGAGCAUAAUAAUAUGUUUAAAUCGCACUGGGUGUAAGUGCGAGAUUUUAUUAGUUAUAAUAAUUGUACGAUUUUUAUUACACAGAUAAAAAUUCCAUCGAUAUACUCUUUAAAAAGUUUGAAAUAUCAGUUUAAUUUAAAAUGAAACAAUGGUUUGAUUUUAAAGUGAACAAAAGACCAUCAUUUAAAUGAUAAUGUUAAAAAUCGACAACACAAAUCUAUUAAAUUAGUUUAACGCAUGAAUUUGCAUAUCUAAAUCUAAAUCUUCUUAUCGCUAAUAUUUAUUGAUUGGAUCAUUAAAUACCUUGUGAAUAUCCUACUUUGUUUGCAAUAGUAGCAAUAAAAGAUAUCACUUUAAUGGUAUUAUAGCUCAUCUAACAUUAACAUUUAACACGUUAUUCUCAACUUAAUUUAAUUAAAUAUAAUUGGUAAUGAAAUAUAAACAUGGAAUUUUUUAUAAUUUAAUUUAAAGUUUUAAUUAUUCAAACAUCUAGUCCACUGAAGUCGCAAUUUUUAUUUCAUCAGGUGUCUUCGAUGAAAAUGCGAAAUAGUGAUAGACGUCUGUUGAUUGCUCCUUGCUACCUCGCGCUUUUUAUCCUUAUUUUGGGAUUUUAAGCACGAGUAGCUCUUCAUUGUUUCGGCCAUCUGUUGUGUGUGGAAAUCGGUUCCACGUGCCGCGUGCGUGGUCGCACGUGCCUGUUCGUGGGCGCGCGCUUGCUCGCGCGCGGUGCCGCGCCGCGGUUCAUUGUUCUAGCGCCUGUCGGGUUGCUAUCUGAUUAUUAUACUUUAUAAUACACUUCAUUGAUCUAUUUUAAGCUUUUGACGCAACGUAAUUAUAAGUUGAUAAUUAUUAUAGUGUGUCUAAUUAUAAAAUAUCUUUUACACAGUCUUUAGCUCUUGUCAGAGCGUGAUCAGACCUCUCAACGUAUUUCUGUGGUAUGCGCUGUUUAUAAUUUACACAGAUAUACGGGACCUAUUUAAACGCCGAACGGCCUCAUCUAGGGCUGCGUUUAGAAACAUCAAAAAUAUAAUUUUAUCCUUGUUUACUGAAUGUUAAACAGAGAUAGAAAAAUAUCUAGAUGCACCCGGGCGAUGUUUCUGAACGCAGCCCAGAGGGAUGUUUUAGAAGCAUCUAAUGGAGACACAUGGGUUCAACGUGCUGAUGGCAAAACAUUUGCUCCUAUAAAAAUUGGAGCAUUCUUUACUGAAGUGUUUACAUAAGCUGCAGCAAUUUCCUUCAUUUUUAUAAGUACGAAAUGCUCCAAUUUAAAUAGGAGAAAAUAUUUUUCCAUUUUUUUUUUUUUUUCAAACGGCCUUAUCUAGAAGGCAAGACACUCUCGGUUUGUUGUUGCCUUUCGAGAUGUAGCAAUCGAAUAAAAACAGAUAUGUUGGAUCACGUGAGAUUUGAACCCAUGGAUCUUCAGCACACACAGUAGACGCACAAUUCUCUGCGCCACGAUCGCUACGAUAUAUAAUACUCAAAACAAUACUAAAAUACUGUAGCUAUAGGGUCAUAUCUGGGUAUAAAGUCUCCUGUGUAUAAGCUCGGUAUUUGGCGCCUUUCCUUCUUCCCUGCUAUAUAAGGUAAAAAAUGCGGUAUGUGUAUAACGUGAUACAAAUUUUUUAUUCCAAAAUAUGUAACAUACAUGCUCGUAAGUCAUUUGUUGAAUUGAUGUGAGCAGUCUUUAAAAAUCAAUAACAAAUGUAUAUCUAUAAUAUGCUGAACAAAUAUUAAAAAAUACACAAAUACAUAUAAAUAUUGUAAUUAAAUAUAGUAGUCAAUAAAUAUUUACGCGCCUAGCUUUUAACUUAACAAAAUCAUUAAUAAUGUUGUUUAUAUCUAGAGAAUCAUACAGUGAAAACUCAAUCGAAAUUAAGUUACUAUUUAUAGGUAAGAAUUAAUAACACUGUGGCUUCAAUAUUAUUGUGCUUUUAAUUACUAAUUACGCACAAUAUUAUUAAUAAUUAAUGAGGUAAAAGAAAUACAAUUUUUCUAUAAUUAUGAAUGCUAAUAAGCUACUCGUCUGUCUCAGAUAAUCCUAUUAUCGUUUCAUGGACUAUUAUUCCGUGAACUGUGAUGUCUUAGUUGCCUGGCUUUUGUAGCUGCAACCAGAUAUAAUCCAGUAACAUUGCUUGCACAUUUCACAUUAUUGGAGUAAAAAUCGCUCUGGAGGAAAACUGCUCUUAUCUUUGUCGCGGUUGUGGAAUGGAGACGUCUGGCAAGCGUCAGGCGUGACUGGUAGUUAACAGGAUGGCCGUAUUUCCUGCUGGAGAGGAGAUCGAUCGAGGCGAGAAUCGAAAUUGCGAUGGCCUAGAGAAUAAUCGAGGGCAAAGACUCGAAUGGUAGAACCACGUAAUGGCGGUGAGCCGGCCAAUAUUGAGUUAUGCUAGACCGGGAUUGGCACCGAAUACUAGAUCGAGCGACAUUACGCAUUUAGGUAUUGCGGAUGAACGGCCGCAAGCUGAGAGUGCUCGACCCUCGCGUCAAAUUCUAAAUGACCAACACUCAAUGAGAUUUAUGAAAUUCUUCGCGCGUGAGAAAUAUCAAUUCUCUUGUGUAUAUACGACACGCAAUUUUUAUAUAUAGAGAAAAGCUUGCUUGUUUUAUAAAAAAAAAAAAACUUAUAUAAUAUCUAAUAAUGUGUAACAUGCAUACGUAAUAAGAUCUGAUAUUUAAAAUUAAUAAUUAUUUACGAAAAAUUUGGAUACAUUCGAUGGAAAAUUGUAAUAAAAUGAAUUUAAUUUUCUCAGUUCGUA
Long non-coding RNA from Solenopsis invicta (red fire ant), 3245 nucleotides. RefSeq lists it as uncharacterized. The record is from RefSeq and is a predicted model, not a curated record. The transcript has 2 exons. NCBI's taxonomy places the organism in Eukaryota, Metazoa, Arthropoda, Insecta, Hymenoptera, Formicidae.